CCUAGUUCGGUGCCAGUGUUUUCAGAAGUGUUUGGGCCGGUUUUGGGGUGUUUUUUUCGGGUUCGAUGAAAACACCCGAAAACACCUCAAAACACUUCUGGCCUGUUCGGUAGGCCGGUUUUGGCCUGUUUAGGCCCGACGAAACACGCCGAAACUCGUCGGGCCGGGGUGGAUCCAAAACGCGCCCCUCCCCUCGCGUUUCUGUCGGGCGGCUGGCGACCAGAGGGCGACGCCUGCGACGAGGGAGGAAGACCACGCCGCCGCCGCUCCAAGAUCACGCCGCCGCCGACGCUGAAAGACGACGCCGCACCGGCUUCCCCUCUCAGGAAACAAGUUGCUUGGACUGAUUUGGCAGGAAACAAGUUGCUUGGACUGAUUUUCUUGUAAUAUUGAAGGGAACAAGCAUGUUUUUAAGAGAACUCUCCCGGGCUGAGUUGGUGCCUUAUUCAACAUCUUGUAGUUUCAGUACUUUGCUCAGAACCAUGUGCCUAUCCACUUCGAAUUUCUCUAUUUGUUUCAUGUCUCCCAAAAAUGGACUAUGAAAUCUGAGGCUAUGAGCUAACUGUUGCUGUAAUGCAUAUUUAUGUAAACGGUUGAACAGAUGCUACCACUUCCAAUUUCUCUAUUUGUUUCAUGGUUUAUGUGCCUAUCCACUUCGAAUUUCUCUA
Long non-coding RNA from Lolium perenne, 668 nucleotides. RefSeq lists it as uncharacterized. The record is from RefSeq and is a predicted model, not a curated record. Lineage: Eukaryota; Viridiplantae; Streptophyta; Magnoliopsida; Poales; Poaceae.